UUACGAGGUCAGGACACUGUGAGGAUUGACAGAUUGAAAGCUCUUUCUUGAUUCAGUGGGUGGUGGUGCAUGGCCGUUCUUAGUUGGUGGAGUGAUUUGUCUGGUUAAUUCCGUUAACGAACGAGACCUUAACCUGCUAAAUAGUCACGCGAACCGGUCCGCAAGGGCUCAAAGUUCGCGGCUCGACUUCUUAGAGGGACUAUUCGCACCCGCCAGCGAAUGGAAGUUUGAGGCAAUAACAGGUCUGUGAUGCCCUUAGAUGUUCUCGGCCGCACGCGCGUUACACUGACGGAGUCAACGAGCGUUUUUCCUUGCCCGACAGGGCUGGGUAACCUCCUGAAACUCCGUCGUGAUGGGGAUAGAUCAUUGCAAUUAUUGAUCUUGAACGAGGAAUUCCUAGUAGGCGCGAGUCAUCAACUCGCGCCGAUUACGUCCCUGCCCUUUGUACACACCGCCCGUCGCUCCUACCGAUUGAACGGUCCGGCGAGAACUCCGGAUGGUC
RNAcentral lists this ribosomal RNA (502 nucleotides) under Vermamoeba vermiformis. Its description in RNAcentral is "SSU rRNA". It matches the Rfam family "Eukaryotic small subunit ribosomal RNA", at positions 1215 to 1719 of the family's 1831-position model. Lineage: Eukaryota; Tubulinea; Echinamoebida; Vermamoebidae. The record is from RNAcentral.